RNAcentral lists this ribosomal RNA (839 nucleotides) under uncultured organism. RNAcentral's name for it is "bacterial SSU rRNA". It matches the Rfam family "Bacterial small subunit ribosomal RNA", at positions 23 to 823 of the family's 1533-position model. The record is from RNAcentral.
CUCACAACGAACACUGGCGGCGUGGAUUAGGCAUGCAAGUCGAGCGGGAUCCUGUUGAUUCAAUCCUUCGGGAGAGAAACUUCAGGUGAGAGCGGCGAACGGGUGAGUAAUAUAUGGGUAAUCUGCCUUGAAGCCCGGGAUAGCCAUUGGAAACGAUGGGUAAUACCGGAUGUGCUCGCUCCGCACCUGCGGAGUUAUGUAAAGGUGGGGAUCUUCGGACCUGCCACUUUAAGAUGGGCCCAUAUCCUAUCAGCUUGUUGGUGAGGUAACAGCUCACCAAGGCUUUGACGGGUAGCCGACCUGAGAGGGUGACCGGCCACACUGGGACUGAGACACUGCCCAGACUCCUACGGGAGGCUGCAGUCGAGAAUCAUUGUCAAUGUACGAAAGUAUGAACAUGCGACGCCGCGUGGAGGACGAAGGCCUUCGGGUUGUAAACUCCUGUCAUGAGGGAGGAACCGCAGACGGUUAAUACCCGUUCUGUUUGACAGUACCUCAAGAGGAAGUCACGGCUAACUCUGUGCCAGCAGCCGCGGUAAUACAGAGGUGGCAAGUGUUGUUCGGAUUUACUGGGCGUAAAGGGUCCGCAGGCGGUUCUGUGUGUCAGAUGUGAAAAUCCACGGCUCAACCGUGGAACUGCAUUUGAAACUACAGAACUAGAGUACAGCAGGGGAGAGGGGAAUUCAUGGUGUAGCGGUGAAAUGCGUAGAUCUCAUGAAGAACACCGGUGGCGAAAGCGCCUCUCUGGACUGAUACUGACGCUCAUGGACGAAAGCCGGGGGAGCGACAAGGAUUAGAUACCCUUGUAGUCCCGGACAUAAACGGUGUGCACUUGAUGU